GUGACCUGCCCAGAAUAAAGGGUGGCUCCUUGGCCAUUGUCGUGACUAAGAGGGACUUCUGUUCUCUUUGAUUUGAGAACUUCCCCCAGAGGUCAAGCUCCGUUUGGACUGCCUGAGCCUUGCUUCCCGAGGCUAGCAGGGAAAGGGGAAAUGGGUUCGAAAUGGGUUCGCAAUGCAAAACCUCGCUCACGCCCAAGUUUCAGUUCCGCAUCCGAAUGCGAAGCCAAACUGCCCCGCGCCAAACACCGAAGCUGGAGCGCCAGUGAGCAGCAGGGAAAGGAGAGCACAGGGCAAGGAGUGGCCUCCCCAGCGCUGGGCAGCUUCCGGCCGGAGUGCACUGCAGUUAUCCCAAGGAAAUCAGUCCCGGUCAGAGGACUGUUUUAAUUGGAAUUAAAUCUACCUAACAAAGUCGAAUUUUUCUCAGAAUGGUUGUCAUUCUCUACGUUGUUGCUCAAAUAGGGAGCAUAGAUAUUAGACAAAUAAGGGCAGAUAGAGGGAGGUUUUGGCUUUCCUGUGCAGGGAACGUGAAAUAGGAACAAGGAACUCUGCAUUAUUUUCCAGUGCUGCUUAGGAACAUUUUGCUAUAAAUACUAAUCGAAUCAGAGUCAUCUGAAAUCAAAGGAACAUUAUAAUUGGUAUUUGUGUAUGUGUUACCCCUCCGGCAAUUAAACAAUGCAGAAGUAAGUCGAUCAGAGACCAACUAUGCAUUAGCAGCUACAAGAAAACCUUGUUUUCCUC
Molecule: long non-coding RNA, 738 nt
Filed under: Marmota monax (woodchuck)
Lineage: Eukaryota; Metazoa; Chordata; Mammalia; Rodentia; Sciuridae
Source: RNAcentral